This 390-nucleotide unclassified non-coding RNA is filed under the name uncultured fungus. RNAcentral's name for it is "partial contains small subunit ribosomal RNA, internal transcribed spacer 1, and 5.8S ribosomal RNA". The stretch from base 1 to 72 matches the Rfam family "Eukaryotic small subunit ribosomal RNA", at positions 1760 to 1831 of the family's 1831-position model. The record is from RNAcentral. Lineage: Eukaryota; Fungi.
CCAAACUUGUCAUUUAGAGGAAGUAAAAGUCGUAACAAGGUAUCCGUAGGUGAACCUGCGGAUGGAUCAUUACCAAUUUUUAAUAUUAGUUCUGGGCUGAGGGUCAAACCGAGGUCUCUGAAACUACUAUGUAAACGUUGAACUAGAUCAUUGGUGUGGAUUGCUUGGGAAUGGUUAGAAGCGACAAGCCUCUUUCCGGACAGGCAAACCCCACAUCGAUAACCUUUUCAUAACUUACAACUAGUACAUACUACAAACAAACAACAAACAAAUAAAGCUAUAAUAGGACUUACUAUAAGCUGAGUGGGUAAAAGCCUCAGCUUUAAACUAAUAACUAUUACAACUUUCAGCAAUGGAUCUCUAGGCUCUCGCAUCGAUGAAGAACGCAGC